GAUGAACGCUAGCGGCAGGCUUAACACAUGCAAGUCGAGGGGUAUUGGUUUUCGGACCAAGAGACCGGCGCACGGGUGCGUAACGCGUAUGCAAUCUACCUUUUGCAGAGGGAUAGCCCAGAGAAAUUUGGAUUAAUACCUCAUAGUAUAGUACUUUGGCAUCAAGGAACUAUUAAAGUCACAACGGCAAAGAUGAGCAUGCGUCCCAUUAGCUAGUUGGUAAGGUAACGGCUUACCAAGGCUACGAUGGGUAGGGGUCCUGAGAGGGAGAUCCCCCACACUGGUACUGAGACACGGACCAGACUCCUACGGGAGGCAGCAGUGAGGAAUAUUGGACAAUGGGCGCAAGCCUGAUCCAGCCAU
This 363-nucleotide ribosomal RNA is filed under the name uncultured bacterium. Its description in RNAcentral is "bacterial SSU rRNA". It matches the Rfam family "Bacterial small subunit ribosomal RNA", at positions 28 to 395 of the family's 1533-position model. The record is from RNAcentral.